GUGAGUUCUCGAUUUAUGUGCUCGCCAUUCGUCUAGCUCCUCUAUCCGUACCCUUCGUUCUUCAUGAAUGUGUCCUCUAUCAGUUUUGGAACAUGGCUCGUGAACUUCUUUGAAGCUCAAUUUCUGCAAAGUCAUAUUGUCAGUUUUAGUAGAUUGGUGUGGACUAUUACCUUCAAUGAUCGAUGUGAUGCCAAAAUUACGAGCUUGAAGGGUGAUCGUGUCAUCUCCUACGCG
This 234-nucleotide long non-coding RNA is filed under the name Gossypium barbadense (sea-island cotton). RNAcentral's name for it is "long non-coding RNA (GBAR_LNC007100)". Lineage: Eukaryota; Viridiplantae; Streptophyta; Magnoliopsida; Malvales; Malvaceae. The record is from RNAcentral.